GGUCAAGCUACAAAGGGCGCAUGGUGAAUGCCUUGGCAUCAGGAGCCGAUGAAGGACGCGAUAAGCUGCGAUAAGCUUCGGGUAGACGCACAUAGUCAGAGAUCCGAAGAUUUCCGAAUGAGGAAACUCACAUGGGAAACCCCAUGUAUCAUAAAGUGAAUACAUAGCUUUAUGAAGGUAAACCCAGGGAACUGAAACAUCUAAGUACCUGGAGGAAGAGAAAGAAAAAUCGAUUUUUCUUAGUAGCGGCGAGCGAAAAGGAAAGAGCCCAAACCAGAGAUUUAUCUCUGGGGUUGCGGACAGAACAUAACGAGAAAUCAUAGUUAACCGAACACAACUGGAAAGUUGGACCGCAGGGGGUAAUAGUCCCGUAAGUGAAAAUUAUGAUAAUCAGUUCUGCACCAGAGUACCACGAGACACGUGAAACCUUGUGGGAAGCAGGGAGGACCACCUCCCAAGGCUAAAUACUACCUGAUGACCGAUAGUGAAGCAGUACCGUGAGGGAAAGGUGAAAAGAACCCCGGGAGGGGAGUGAAAUAGAACCUGAAACCAUGUGCCUACAACCGAUCAAAGCACCUUAUGUGUGUGAUGAUGUGCUUUUUGUAGAACGAGCCAACGAGUUACGGUAUGUAGCGAGGUUAAGUACUUAAGGUACGGAGCCGAAGGGAAACCGAGUCUUAAUAGGGCGACUAGUUGCAUGCUGUAGACCCGAAACCGGGUGACCUAUCCAUGGCCAGGUUGAAGCGAGGGUAAAACCUCGUGGAGGACCGAACCACGUUGCUGUUGAAAAAGCAUGGGAUGAGCUGUGGAUAGCGGAGAAAUUCCAAUCGAACUCGGAUAUAGCUGGUUCUCCUCGAAAUAGCUUUAGGGCUAGCGUCGGAAAAUGUGAGUAGUGGAGGUAGAGCACUGAAUAGGCUAGGGGGCAUAGCGCUUACCGAACCUUAUCAAACUCCGAAUGCCAUAUACUAUCAGUCCGGCAGUCAGACUAUGAAAGAUAAGUUCCAUGGUCAAAAGGGAAACAGCCCAGAUCGUCAGCUAAGGUCCCAAAGUGUAAGUUAAGUGGAAAAGGAUGUGGGGAUUUCUAAGACAACUAGGAUGUUGGCUUAGAAGCAGCCACUCAUUAAAAGAGUGCGUAAUAGCUCACUAGUCAAGAGAUCCUUGCGCCGAAAAUGUCCGGGGCUCAAACUUACCACCGAAGCUACGGGUUCACAAUUUAUUGUGAGCGGUAGAGGAGCGUCCGUAAUCGGGCUGAAGUCGUACCGAAAGGAGCGGGUGGACUGAUUACGAUGAGGAAUGUUGGCAUUAGUAGCGAGAUGUAGGUGAGAAUCCUACAGGCCGAAUAUCUAAGGUUUCCUGAGUAAAGUUUGUCUUCUCAGGGUUAGUCGGGACCUAAGGCGAGGCCGAAAGGCGUAGUCGAUGGACAAUUGGUUGAUAUUCCAAUACACUAUAAUCGUUAUUAUCGAUGGUGUGACGGAGAAGGAUAGGAUGUGCUAACUAUUGGAUGUUAGUCUAAGCGUUUAGGGAGUUAGGAUAGGCAAAUCCGUUCUAACAAUUCUGAGGCGUGAUGGGGAAGGUUCCACGGAACCGAAGUAUCUGAUUCCAUGCUUCCAAGAAAAGCAUCUAGAGAGAGAAGUAGUGCCCGUACCGCAAACCGACACAGGUAGAUGAGGAGAGAAUCCUAAGGCCGACGGAAGAAUUGCAGUUAAGGAACUAGGCAAAUUGACCCCGUAACUUCGGGAGAAGGGGUGCCUGCUUUACGGCAGGGCCGCAGAGAAUAGGCACAAGCAACUGUUUAACAAAACACAGGUCUCUGCUAAAGCGAAAGCUGAUGUAUAGGGGCUGACGCCUGCCCGGUGCUGGAAGGUUAAGGGGAACACUUAGCGUAAGCGAAGGUGUGAACUUAAGCCCCAGUAAACGCGGCCGUAACUAUAACGGUCCUAAGGUAGCGAAAUUCCUUGUCAGGUAAGUUCUGACCCGCACGAAUGGCGUAAUGACUUGUGCACUGUCUCAACUGCAAAUCCGGCGAAGUUGUAGUGCGAGUGAAGAUGCUCGCUACCCGCGAUUGGACGGAAGACCCCGUAGAGCUUUACUGUAGCUUAGCAUUGAAUUUCGGUAUUGUCUGUACAGGAUAGGUGGGAGACUGGGAAACUAGGGCGUCAGCCUUAGUGGAGUCGUUGUUGGGAUACCACCCUGAUAGUAUUGAAAUUCUAACUGGAUGCCAUGAAACUGGUGACAGGACAUUGUUAGGUGGGCAGUUUGACUGGGGCGGUCGCCUCCUAAAAUGUAACGGAGGCG
RNAcentral lists this ribosomal RNA (2295 nucleotides) under Clostridium saccharobutylicum. Its description in RNAcentral is "partial 23S ribosomal RNA". It matches the Rfam family "Bacterial large subunit ribosomal RNA", at positions 1 to 2308 of the family's 2925-position model. Lineage: Bacteria; Bacillati; Bacillota; Clostridia; Eubacteriales; Clostridiaceae. The record is from RNAcentral.